GUGUUCACUUCGGCAGCACAUAUACUAAAAUUGGAACAAUACAGAGAAGAUUAGCGUGGCCCCUGCAGAAGGAUGACAUGCAAAUUUGUGAAGCAUCCCAUAUUUUU
Small nuclear RNA from Loxodonta africana (African savanna elephant), 107 nucleotides. The record is from Ensembl. Lineage: Eukaryota; Metazoa; Chordata; Mammalia; Proboscidea; Elephantidae.